UGACUCAGCAUGGGGACAUGAUGUCAGGUGGUGUCAGCUGGCCUGGAUGGAGAGACCACGUUGGUGAGACUUAAUCGCUUACUCAGUCAUGCCUAUAAGAUGGAGCUCCAGUAAAAUCUCUGAAUGCUGAGGCUCAGAAGGCUUCCCUGGGUGGGAGGACGCCAGAAAUGGCUCAAUGGGAGGCCUCUGCCACGUAGAACUGUGGGCAGAAUUAAUGCAACUAAUGCACAGAAGGGAAAAACAGACAGCCUGGCCACACCGUCACCACUCAGAAGAUGGUGACUACUGUUCCUAUUGCUCCAGUUGUUGUUAUACCACUCUUUCCACUUAAACUUCUCUACUGCUGAGUUCAGUAUGGGAUCUCAGUGUUCAUCUUGUUAUGAAGCUCCGGAAACAGGGAUUAAACAUCGUACAGAGAAGAUUUGAGAGCUACAAACACUUGUGAACGGUACCAAGUCCCCUUGCAAAUUAUUCCAAUAAGCAAAGGCCUGCUCAAGGCAGACAAUAGAGAAGAGCUGGUGAAGAUACUUUUAAAGGUUCGCUUGGAUCAGGAAGAGACACCGAUAGGCGCCUUCCCCAAAUGGGAAACAAAUUGUGUGCUUUCUGAAUCAAUGAAUGAGAAAGUCAUCUGGUU
Long non-coding RNA from Chinchilla lanigera (long-tailed chinchilla), 634 nucleotides. RefSeq lists it as uncharacterized. Lineage: Eukaryota; Metazoa; Chordata; Mammalia; Rodentia; Chinchillidae. The record is from RefSeq and is a predicted model, not a curated record. The transcript is spliced from 3 exons.